Molecule: ribosomal RNA, 312 nt
Filed under: uncultured Phialophora
Lineage: Eukaryota; Fungi; Ascomycota; Leotiomycetes
Description: partial large subunit ribosomal RNA
Rfam family: Eukaryotic large subunit ribosomal RNA
Source: RNAcentral
AUAUCAAUAAGCGCAGGAAAAGAAACCAACAGGGAUUGCCUCAGUAACGGCGAGUGAAGCGGCAACAGCUCAAAUUUGAAAUCUGGCCUCUCGGGGUCCGAGUUGUAAUUUGUAGAGGAUGUUUCGGGUACCGCCUCGGUUUAAAUUUCUUGGAACAGAAUGUCAAAGAGGGUGAGAAUCCCGUCUUUGACCUGGAGUUCACCGCGUACGGCACGUGUUCUACGAGUCGAGUUGUUUGGGACUGCAGCUCCAAUUGGGUGGUAAAUUUCAUCUAAAGCUAAAUACCAGCGAGAGACCGAUAGCGCACAAGUA